AUGAACAGGACAAUUGUGGAGAGAGUUAGAUGCUUGUUGUCAAGUGCAAAGCUACGUAAACACUUUUGGGGUGAGGCUUUGAUGACUACAGUUUAUCUUAUUAAUCUCUCACCAAGUUAUCCAUUGCAGGGAGAUGUUCCUAACAGAGUCUGGUGUGACAAGGACGUCUCAUAUGACCACCUGAAGGUUUUUGGGUGCAAGGCCUUUGUUCAUAUUCCUCAAGAUGAAAGGUCAAAGCUUGAUUUGAAGACACAACAGUGUAUCUUUCUUGGUUAUGGUGGUGAUGAGUUUGGCUACAAGCUGUUUGACCCUAUAGCAAGGAAAGUUGUGAGAAGUCGUGAUGUUGUGUUUGUUGAAGACCAAACAAUUGAGGAUAUUGUGAAGAUAAAGGGGCAGGUUCCUCAUCAGCAGCAGCAAGACAUGAUUGAUUCUGACCCAGUUCCUGCAGCUCCAGCUCCUGUGCAAGUCGAAGCAGAUGCAGAAGAUGUACAUGGUGAUGUACAUGGUGGUGCAGGUGAAGAAGAAGCUCCCCAACAACAACAGCAAGAGUAUGAUGCUGAAGUUGAUGAUCCGGAUCAGCAGGAAGCACCAGCACCAGAAAGUCCACCAGCUGCUCCACUCAGAAGAUCCAACAGGGGUCGAAUUCCUUCCAGCAGGUAUCCCUCAGAUCAAUACGUGGUGUUAUUAUCUGACGGUUCAGAACCUGAAUGCUUUGUAGAUGCAAUGUAA
Molecule: ribosomal RNA, 729 nt
Filed under: Triticum aestivum (bread wheat)
Lineage: Eukaryota; Viridiplantae; Streptophyta; Magnoliopsida; Poales; Poaceae
Description: partial small subunit ribosomal RNA
Source: RNAcentral